This 459-nucleotide ribosomal RNA is filed under the name uncultured bacterium. RNAcentral's name for it is "partial 16S ribosomal RNA". It matches the Rfam family "Bacterial small subunit ribosomal RNA", at positions 338 to 795 of the family's 1533-position model. The record is from RNAcentral.
CCUACGGGGGGCAGCAGUGAGGAAUAUUGGUCAAUGGGCGGGAGCCUGAACCAGCCAAGUCGCGUGAAGGAGGAAGGUACUUAGUAUUGUAAACUUCUUUUGUCGGGGAACAAAGGCGGAGACACGUCUCCGGAUGAGUGUACCCGAAGAAAAAGCAUCGGCUAACUCCGUGCCAGCAGCCGUGGUAAUACGGAGGAUGCGAGCGUUAUCCGGAUUUAUUGGGGUUAAAGGGUGCGCAGGCGGGAGAUCAAGUCAGCGGUAAAAUGUCGGGGCUCAACCCCGGCCGGCCGUUGAAACUGGUGUUCUAGAGUGGGAGAGAAGUAUGCGGAAUUCGUGGUGUAGCGGUGAAAUGCGUAGAUAUCAGGAGGAACAUCGGUGGCGUAAGCGCUUUACUGGGCCGUAAUUGACACUGAGGAACGAAAGCCGGGGUAGCAAAUGGGAUUAGAUACCCUUGUAGUC